GAGUUUGAUCGUGGCUCAGGACGAACGCUGGCGGCGCGCCUAACACAUGCAAGUCGAACGGAAUAUUUUUCUACUUCAAGUUUUUUGCUUGUUUGAGGAAAGCGCCAAUCAGUGCGCAGCACUGAUUUAGGCCUUUUAGUAAACCAACACAUGCAGAAAAAGAACGAGCGGAAGAUUUGAAGUAGAAAAAUAUUUAGUGGCGAACGGGUGAGUAACGCGUGAGGAACCUGCCUCAAAGAGGGGGACAACAGUUGGAAACGACUGCUAAUACCGCAUAAGCCCACGGUCCCGCAUGGGACAGAGGGAAAAGGAGCAAUCCGCUUUGAGAUGGCCUCGCGUCCGAUUAGCUAGUUGGUGAGGUAACGGCCCACCAAGGCGACGAUCGGUAGCCGGACUGAGAGGUUGAACGGCCACAUUGGGACUGAGACACGGCCCAGACUCCUACGGGAGGCAGCAGUGGGGAAUAUUGCACAAGUGGGGGAAACCCUGAUGCAGCGACGCCGCGUGGAGGAAGAGGU
RNAcentral lists this ribosomal RNA (518 nucleotides) under uncultured bacterium. RNAcentral describes it as "bacterial SSU rRNA". It matches the Rfam family "Bacterial small subunit ribosomal RNA", at positions 9 to 414 of the family's 1533-position model. The record is from RNAcentral.